RNAcentral lists this ribosomal RNA (1343 nucleotides) under uncultured bacterium. RNAcentral describes it as "16S ribosomal RNA". It matches the Rfam family "Bacterial small subunit ribosomal RNA", at positions 28 to 1378 of the family's 1533-position model. The record is from RNAcentral.
GACGAACGCUGUCGGCGUGCUUAACACAUGCAAGUCGAACGGAAAGGCCCUGCUUUUGUGGGGUGCUCGAGUGGCGAACAGGUGAGUAACACGUGAGUAACCUGCCCUUGACUUUGGGAUAACUUCAGGAAACUGGGGCUAAUACCGGAUAGGAGCUCCUGCUGCAUGGUGGGGGUUGGAAAGUUUCGGCGGUUGGGGAUGGACUCGCGGCUUAUCAGCUUGUUGGUGGGGUAGUGGCUUACCAAGGCUUUGACGGGUAGCCGGCCUGAGAGGGUGACCGGCCACAUUGGGACUGAGAUACGGCCCAGACUCCUACGGGAGGCAGCAGUGGGGAAUAUUGCACAAUGGGCGGAAGCCUGAUGCAGCAACGCCGCGUGCGGGAUGACGGCCUUCGGGUUGUAAACCGCUUUCGCCUGUGACGAAGCGUGAGUGACGGUAAUGGGUAAAGAAGCACCGGCUAACUACGUGCCAGCAGCCGCGGUGAUACGUAGGGUGCGAGCGUUGUCCGGAUUUAUUGGGCGUAAAGGGCUCGUAGGUGGUUGAUCGCGUCGGAAGUGUAAUCUUGGGGCUUAACCCUGAGCGUGCUUUCGAUACGGGUUGACUUGAGGAAGGUAGGGGAGAAUGGAAUUCCUGGUGGAGCGGUGGAAUGCGCAGAUAUCAGGAGGAACACCAGUGGCGAAGGCGGUUCUCUGGGCCUUUCCUGACGCUGAGGAGCGAAAGCGUGGGGAGCGAACAGGCUUAGAUACCCUGGUAGUCCACGCUGUAAACGGUGGGUACUAGGUGUGGGGUCCAUUCCACGGGUUCCGUGCCGUAGCUAACGCUUUAAGUACCCCGCCUGGGGAGUACGGCCGCAAGGCUAAAACUCAAAGGAAUUGACGGGGCCCCGCACAAGCGGCGGAGCAUGCGGAUUAAUUCGAUGCAACGCGUAGAACCUUACCUGGGUUUGACAUGGAUCGGGAGUGCUCAGAGAUGGGUGUGCCUCUUUUGGGGUCGGUUCACAGGUGGUGCAUGGCUGUCGUCAGCUCGUGUCGUGAGAUGUUGGGUUAAGUCCCGCAACGAGCGCAACCCUUGUUCACUGUUGCCAGCACGUUAUGGUGGGGACUCAGUGGAGACCGCCGGGGUCAACUCGGAGGAAGGUGGGGAUGACGUCAAGUCAUCAUGCCCCUUAUGUCCAGGGCUUCACGCAUGCUACAAUGGCUGGUACAGAGAGUGGCGAGCCUGUGAGGGUGAGCGAAUCUCGGAAAGCCGGUCUCAGUUCGGAUUGGGGUCUGCAACUCGACCUCAUGAAGUCGGAGUCGCUAGUAAUCGCAGAUCAGCAACGCUGCGGUGAAUACGUUCCCGGG